This 501-nucleotide ribosomal RNA is filed under the name uncultured bacterium. Its description in RNAcentral is "partial 16S ribosomal RNA". It matches the Rfam family "Bacterial small subunit ribosomal RNA", at positions 30 to 523 of the family's 1533-position model. The record is from RNAcentral.
AUUGAACGCUGGCGGAAUGCUUUACACAUGCAAGUCGAACGGCAGCACGGACUUCGGCCUGGUGGCGAGUGGCGAACGGGUGAGUAAUAUAUCGGAACGUGCCCAGUCGUGGGGGAUAACGUAGUGAAAAUUACGCUAAUACCGCAUACGAUCUACGGAUGAAAGCGGGGGAUCGCAAGACCUCGCGCGAUUGGCGCGGCCGAUAUCAGAUUGGGUAGUUGGUGGGGUAAAGGCUAACCAAGCCAACGAUCUGUAGCAGGUCUGAGAGGUACGACCAGCCACACUGGGACUGAGACACGGCCCAGACUCCUACGGGAGGCAGCAGUGGGGAAUUUUGGACAAUGGACGCAAGUCUGAUCCAGCCAUUCCGCGUGCAGGACGAAGGCCUUCGGGUUGUAAACUGCUUUUGUACAGAACGAAAAGGUUUCUAUUAAUACUAGGGGCUCAUGACGGUACUGUAAGAAUAAGCACCGGCUAACUACGUGCCAGCAGCCGCCGUAA